UACGUAGGUGGCGAGCGUUGUCCGGAUUUACUGGGCGUAAAGGGAGCGUAGGCGGACUUUUAAGUGAGAUGUGAAAUACCCGGGCUCAACUUGGGUGCUGCAUUUCAAACUGGAAGUCUAGAGUGCAGGAGAGGAGAAUGGAAUUCCUAGUGUAGCGGUGAAAUGCGUAGGGAUUAGGAAGAACACCAGUGGCGAAGGCGAUUCUCUGGACUGUAACUGACGCUGAGGCUCGAAAGCGUGGGGAGCAAACAGGAUUAGAUACCCCGGUAGUCCCU
RNAcentral lists this ribosomal RNA (275 nucleotides) under uncultured prokaryote. Its description in RNAcentral is "partial 16S ribosomal RNA". It matches the Rfam family "Bacterial small subunit ribosomal RNA", at positions 524 to 798 of the family's 1533-position model. The record is from RNAcentral.